Molecule: long non-coding RNA, 432 nt
Organism: Gasterosteus aculeatus aculeatus (three-spined stickleback)
Lineage: Eukaryota; Metazoa; Chordata; Actinopteri; Perciformes; Gasterosteidae
Source: Ensembl
GUUAUUAGUUAAUGAUACUGUGAUUGAAAAUACCACAGUGAUGUUAUUGGUAAAUACCACAGUGAGGUUAUUGGUAAAUACUACAGUGAGGUUAUUGGUAAAUACCACAGUGAGGUUAUAGGUAAUUACCACAGUGAUGUUAUUGGUAAAUACUACAGUGAUGUUAUUGGUAAAUACUACAGUGAUGUUAUUGGUAAAUACUACAGUGAGGUUAUUGGUAAAUACCACAGUGAUGUUAUUGGUAAAUACCACAGUGAGGUUAUUGGUAAAUACCACAGUGAUGUUAUUGGUAAAUACCACAGUGAUGUUAUUGGUAAAUACCUGUUAUUGGUAAAUACUACAGUGAUGUUAUUGGUAAAUACCACAGUGAGGUUAUUGGUAAAUACCACAGUGAUGUUAUUGGUAAAUACCUGUUAUUGGUAAAUACUACAG